Molecule: long non-coding RNA, 649 nt
Organism: Magnolia sinica
Lineage: Eukaryota; Viridiplantae; Streptophyta; Magnoliopsida; Magnoliales; Magnoliaceae
Exons: 3
Source: RefSeq, a predicted model, not a curated record
AGUUUCGCACAGCAAGUUGGUAAGAUUCUGUGUAUUUCUUCGUCUCAUGUGCUGAAAUUGGCAAACCUUGCUGUUGUAUUUUUAUGUAUUUUGGUUAUUUGGUGAUCGCAUUGUACUAAAGGUUUUACAAAGAGAUCAUUAGACCCUUCUUUAUAUGUGCUUUCAGUUUCUGGAUCUUUUUAGAUUUGCUUCUUUCUUUAGUAUUCUCUUGUAUUCUGAUUGUGCAAUGCUUGGAAUCUGUGACUGCGUUGUUGGAAAGUCUUAUAUAGAGAGCACAAAGGCCUCUAUUUUUUCUCUAUCUUUGUCUUCUUUAUGAAGCUAACAUUCCAGUGUUAACAAAUUACAUAAUUGUUUGAUUCUAUUUUGCAGGAUAUCGAGGAAUUGCAAUCUUUCUGGACCAAUCCCUUCAUAUGUAAAUGAAAAGCUUGAAAACCUUGCGAUUGAUGAGAGGGUUUACACAUAGGCAUGACCAAGCUGCUCAUCCAACCUGAUUCUUGGACCAAGCAUAAGUUGUGGCCCACCAACACAAGGAUGAAGAUUGCCCAAUCAAAGGAAAUCUCAGGGUUUCAUCUAUUUUGGACUCAUCAUGUGUUGUUAGUUGUUACUGAUAAAGGUCCUAGAAGGGGUCGUGUUGGUGCUGCAACUUCCA